This 253-nucleotide ribosomal RNA is filed under the name Thermoleophilia bacterium. RNAcentral's name for it is "partial 16S ribosomal RNA". It matches the Rfam family "Bacterial small subunit ribosomal RNA", at positions 524 to 776 of the family's 1533-position model. RNAcentral also lists the same sequence under 3 other names. Lineage: Bacteria; Bacillati; Actinomycetota; Thermoleophilia. The record is from RNAcentral.
UACGGAGGAUCCAAGCGUUAUCCGGAUUCAUUGGGUUUAAAGGGUGCGUAGGCGGAAUGAUAAGUCAGUGGUGAAAUCCUGCAGCUUAACUGCAGAACUGCCAUUGAUACUGUCAAUCUUGAGUACAUUUGAUGUGGGCGGAAUGUGUCAUGUAGCGGUGAAAUGCUUAGAUAUGACACAGAACACCGAUUGCGAAGGCAGCUCACAAAACUGUAACUGACGCUGAGGCACGAAAGCGUGGGUAUCAAACAGG